Transfer RNA from Ovis aries (sheep), 69 nucleotides. It matches the Rfam family "tRNA". Rfam says of the family: Transfer RNA (tRNA) molecules are approximately 80 nucleotides in length. Their secondary structure includes four short double-helical elements and three loops (D, anti-codon, and T loops). The record is from Rfam. NCBI's taxonomy places the organism in Eukaryota, Metazoa, Chordata, Mammalia, Artiodactyla, Bovidae.
UCCCUGGUCCAAUGGUUAGGAUUCAGCACUUUCACUUCUGUGGCCUGGGUUCAAUCCCUGGUCAGGGAA